Molecule: ribosomal RNA, 269 nt
Filed under: uncultured bacterium
Lineage: Bacteria
Description: partial 16S ribosomal RNA
Rfam family: Bacterial small subunit ribosomal RNA
Source: RNAcentral
GCGCCUACGGGACGCAGCAGUGAGGAAUAUUGGUCAAUGGACGGAAGUCUGAACCAGCCAUGCCGCGUGCAGGAAGACGGCUCUAUGAGUUGUAAACUGCUUUUGUACAAGGGUAAACCUGAAUACGUGUAUUCAGCUGAAAGUACUGUACGAAUAAGCAUCGGCUAACUCCGUGCCAGCAGCCGCGGUAAUACGGAGGAUGCGAGCGUUAUCCGGAUUUAUUGGGUUUAAAGGGUGCGUAGGCGGGCCUUCAGGCCGGCGGUAAAAUU